RNAcentral lists this ribosomal RNA (466 nucleotides) under uncultured bacterium. Its description in RNAcentral is "partial 16S ribosomal RNA". It matches the Rfam family "Bacterial small subunit ribosomal RNA", at positions 28 to 507 of the family's 1533-position model. The record is from RNAcentral.
GACGAACGCUGGCGGCGUGCUUAACACAUGCAAGUCGAACGGAAAGGCCUCUUUCGGGGGGUACUCGAGUGGCGAACGGGUGAGUAACACGUGAGUAACCUGCCCUUGACUUUGGGUUAACUUCAGGAAACUGGGGCUAAUACCGGAUAGGAGCUCCUGCUGCAUGGUGGGGGUUGGAAAGUUUCGGCGGUUGGGGAUGGACUCGCGGCUUAUCAGCUUGUUGGUGGGGUAGUGGCUUACCAAGGCUUUGACGGGUAGCCGGCCUGAGAGGGUGACCGGCCACAUUGGGACUGAGAUACGGCCCAGACUCCUACGGGAGGCAGCAGUGGGGAAUAUUGCACAAUGGGCGGAAGCCUGAUGCAGCAACGCCGCGUGCGGGAUGACGGCCUUCGGGUUGUAAACCGCUUUCGCCUGUGACGAAGCGUGAGUGACGGUAAUGGGUAAAGAAGCACCGGCUAACUACGUG